Molecule: microRNA, 21 nt
Filed under: Medicago truncatula (barrel medic)
Lineage: Eukaryota; Viridiplantae; Streptophyta; Magnoliopsida; Fabales; Fabaceae
Description: mtr-miR2612
Source: miRBase by way of RNAcentral
UGAUAGUGUCAACUAGUACAG